GGGCAGGUUCCCGAGUGGCCAAAGGGAUCAGACUGUAAAUCUGACGGCGAAGCCUUCGGUGGUUCGAAUCCACCUCUGCCCACCA
Molecule: transfer RNA, 85 nt
Filed under: Bacillota bacterium
Lineage: Bacteria; Bacillati; Bacillota
Description: tRNA-Tyr
Rfam family: tRNA
About the family: Transfer RNA (tRNA) molecules are approximately 80 nucleotides in length. Their secondary structure includes four short double-helical elements and three loops (D, anti-codon, and T loops).
Source: RNAcentral